AUCUUCAUGUUUUCAUGGUAUCAGAGCAGGAAAAUCUUCCGAUCCUUCUCUGUUAUGUGUUAUCGAUACUUGAUGAAGCUUUUGCUGAAGUUUUUCUUCAGUUAUCUGAGAAAAAUACUGUUCGUAUAUUUUUUUCGAUGAAUGUUAAUCGGUUAAUCGGGACUUUUCUGACUGUUUGAGGCUCCUAUCCUGUAUCAGUAGAUGUUUUGGGUGAUUUUCCGACAUCUCUGAUUUUGUUCCGACGAGUUCUUCAAAUUCUAGGGUCUUCCGACUUUCAGACCUAGAGUUUUGGUGUUAUCCGAUGAUUUUUUUCUUCGCUUGAUGGACGUUUUGGGUAACUUUCCGGCAUCUAUGACCUUACUCCGGUGAGUUUCAGAACCUAGGGUUUCCGGUGUUGGACCUAGGGUUUUCUCUGUUGAUUGAA
Molecule: long non-coding RNA, 424 nt
Filed under: Nicotiana benthamiana
Lineage: Eukaryota; Viridiplantae; Streptophyta; Magnoliopsida; Solanales; Solanaceae
Description: long non-coding RNA (NBEN_LNC025619)
Source: RNAcentral